Molecule: ribosomal RNA, 431 nt
Filed under: uncultured bacterium
Lineage: Bacteria
Description: partial 16S ribosomal RNA
Rfam family: Bacterial small subunit ribosomal RNA
Source: RNAcentral
AACGAACGCUGGCGGCAGGCCUAACACAUGCAAGUCGAGCGCGCCUUCGGGUGAGCGGCGGACGGGUGCGUAGCGCGUGGGGAUAUGCACUUCUCUACGGAAUAGUCCUGGGACACUGGGGGUAAUACCGAAUACGCCCUAUGGGGGAAAGAUUUAUCGGGGAAGGUUUAGCCCGCGUUGGAUUAGGUGGUUGGUGGGGUAAUGGCCUGCCAAGCCGACGAUUCAUAGCUGGUUUGAGAGGAGGACCCGCCGCACUGGGGCUGAGACCCGGCCCCGACCCCUACGCGAGGCAGCAGUGUGGAACCCUAUGCAAGGGGGGCAACCCUGGUCAAGCCACGCCGCGGGAGUCAUCAAUCCCUUAGUGUUCCAAAGCCCGCUCAGCUGAGAAGAUAGUGACGGUACCAGCAGAAGAAGCCCCGGCUAACUCCGUG